GUUUCUUCAAACUUUGGGAGAUGGAGGAGGUAGAUUGCAUAUUGUUUUCUUGGUUUUAUAACUUUUUUGUGUCGAGUUAGUUAGCAAGGCAAAUUUAAAUAAAUUACACUAGCAGGUAGUUAGUUAGCUAGCAGAGUGCAGUUUUCUCUGCCAGAAUGUCUAACGCUAAUGACAAUGUAGUGGAUUUUUUUGUUGAAGAACUCCUUUCAUUGCCCACAUCAGAUUCAAACUUCUGGGAAAAAUCCUCAUCGAUCAUUUAAUGGAUGAAGAUCUGUGUAUUCAAACUGCGUAACACAACAAGAAGCUAAGUCCCCUCCUGUUCCCUGAUUAAGGGGUGAUGACAACUCCACUGCACUACCAGUGUCAACUCUCUCCUGACAUGAACUGAAGCCAUGUCUCAUGUGCCCUCUCAUCCACUGGCACAUUGAAGGUUUCCUCUCCGAGCACUUCAAAUCCUGUGCUGCCCUCAGUGUGAGAGUUGAGCUCUUCUCCAACACCAUCCAUGCAUGAUGAGCCUGUCCUGCACUGAAGCCUAUGAAGACCUCAACCCCUGUUCUGCACUGAAGUCAAGCCUCUGAACACCUCAACUCAUGCCUCAUACCCUCAUUCAAUCACUGCUGUGAUCCCUUCCCAACACUGUGUCAAAGGGCUUUUAAUGAAGAGCUGCUCUCCAGAGAACAUCGCUAGCACAUCGUCCCUGGGCCAUCUCGCCAUACAGUCCCUAUGAAAAAUGCAGGGCCGGUGUUGUAGCCAGCAGAGAGCUCCCGCCUGUGCUGUCACUCGCCUUGCCCACAGGUCCACACCAAAGUAGCCUGUGUUUUCUUCCUUCCUCUGCAGCACUGGAACACACAUUAUCACAUCAUCAAUAUUCAUCCUUGUCUCUCUCCUGUCCCCUCUUCUCCAGGUCUGCUCACAUGUAUCCAUCAUCUCUCCCCAUUUUUACCUUCGCUUUCCACUUCCACAGUGCCUUCUACCGUCUUCCCUUCUCCCCUCCCGCUGUCUGCACCCUCCAUCUCUCUCCCCUCCAUCGCUCCUGCUCCUGCUCCUCUCCUCCAUCUCUCUCCCCUCCAUCGCUCCUGCUCCUCUCCUCUGAUCGAGGUGGGUUUGGACCUUAAUGAAUGUAUGCCUGGAGCUGCCGAUGCAAAAAAAAUUAUUCCUCUGCUUUUUUUUUUGCUAACAAAGGGCAUCUGAAGCCAUUUGUGAUGCAAAUGUGACUGAUGAUCUGGUUAGCGUGAUCCUUAGCGUGUUUGAAGGCAUUGUUAGUAUGUUCUGUGCUAUGCUGUGACAGAUUAGUGGCUUUGCACAUGUAGCCCUUGCCCCGUUAAAUCUGGUCUGUCAAAAUGGGCAAGCCAUGGAUUUACUGACUGACAAAAAUAAGUACAAGCGUACACACACGCACACACACAGAGCCACAUACAUACACACACAGAGAGCCAUAUACACACACACACACACACACACACACACACACACACACACACACGCUAGACGGUGGGCUGUGAGAAUCCACCUCUACUCUCCCUCUAGAGCCAGAGAGUUUGUAGAGCAGCUUGUUUUAUUGUAUUUCCAGCUUGUAACAAAUCCUACUAUCAUGAAAAAAUCCACACUGUCUCCCUAGAUUUAGUUGAAGCAUUUACCUGCCUCCAUUUUCUCCCAUAAAAGCUCUCCACUAACAAAAACAGCCGCAGAGUAUUUUUCUUUCCUCUUUAGCCCCAGACUCCUUUUCUCCUUCACAACCUUCCUCU
This is a long non-coding RNA of Oncorhynchus tshawytscha (Chinook salmon), 1745 nucleotides long. NCBI's taxonomy places the organism in Eukaryota, Metazoa, Chordata, Actinopteri, Salmoniformes, Salmonidae. The record is from Ensembl.